AGGACGAACGCUGGCGGCGUGCUUAACACAUGCAAGUCGAGCGGAAAGGCCCUUCGGGGUACUCGAGCGGCGAACGGGUGAGUAACACGUGAGUAAUCUGCCCUUAGCUCUGGGAUAGCUCCGGGAAACCGGGAUUAAUACCAGAUACGACCACUUUAGACAUCUGCCGUGGUGGAAAGAAUUUCGGCUAAGGAUGAGCUCGCGGCCUAUCAGCUUGUGGUGGGUAACGGCCUACCAGGCGACGGACGGGUA
Molecule: ribosomal RNA, 252 nt
Filed under: uncultured bacterium
Lineage: Bacteria
Description: partial small subunit ribosomal RNA
Rfam family: Bacterial small subunit ribosomal RNA
Source: RNAcentral